GUGCCUCCCUUGGCAGCACAUAUAUUAAAAUGGGAAUACUACAGAAUCAGUUAGCCUGGCUUCUGUGCCAGGAUGACACACAAGUUUGCCAAAUGUUCCAUGUUUUU
This is a small nuclear RNA of Meriones unguiculatus (Mongolian gerbil), 107 nucleotides long. The record is from Ensembl. Lineage: Eukaryota; Metazoa; Chordata; Mammalia; Rodentia; Muridae.